AGUAACGCGUGGAUAACCUGCCUUGCACUGGGGGAGUAACACUUAGAAAUAGGUGCUAAUACCGCAUAAGCGCACAGCUUCGCAUGAAGCAGUGUGAAAAACUACCGGUGGUAUACGAUGGAUCCGCGUCUGAUUAGCUGGUUGGCGGGGUAAAGGCCCACCAAGGCGACGAUCAGUAGCCGGCCUGAGAGGGUGAACGGCCACAUUGGGACUGAGACACGGCCCAAACUCCUACGGAAGGCAGCAG
This 247-nucleotide ribosomal RNA is filed under the name uncultured bacterium. RNAcentral's name for it is "partial 16S ribosomal RNA". It matches the Rfam family "Bacterial small subunit ribosomal RNA", at positions 109 to 354 of the family's 1533-position model. The record is from RNAcentral.